UAAUAUUAGCAAAAUAUUUUAUUUCCUUUUAUUUCCAUUCAUCUUAUCAUUUAUUUAUACAUACAUGAUUUUGUUAAAUGGAUUUUCCAUUAGCAUAAUAUUUUGUUUCCUUUUAUUUCCAUUCAUCUUAUUAUUUAUAUAUACAUACAUGAUUUUGUUAAAUGGAUUUUCCUAAUACCUGAGAAUAUUUAUAUACUAUCUUAAGAAUUACGGUUAGUCAAGUGACUAGCAUUGACUAACCUUAACUCUAUUGACUAUCUCUAUAAGAUAAGAACCUUGGAAAAAGAAAAAACAAAACGAACAGCAGAAAAGAACAUAGGAUCGCAAGAAUCUGAAGAAUCUAAUAGAAUUAAUAGAAUUCAAAAUUUUGUUUAAUUUUCUUCUGAUUCCUCCUAGCCAGAUACGAAAGUUUUUUAGCAUAAUAUUUUAUUUCCUUUUAUUACAAUGGAUCUUAUCAUUUAUAUAUACAUGAUUUUUUUAAAUGCAUUUUGCUAAUAUUAGCAAAAUAUUUUAUUUCCUUUUAUUUCCAUUCAUCUUAUCAUUUAUAUAUACAUACAUGAUUUUGUUAAAUUGAUUUUCCAUUAGCAUAAUAUUUUGUUUCCUUUUAUUUCCAUUCAUCUUAUUAUUUAUAUAUACAUACAUGAUUUUGUUAAAUGGAUUUUCCUAAUACCUGAGUAUAUUUAUAUACUAUCUUAAGAAUUAUGGUUAGUCAAGUGACUAGCAUUGACUAACCUUAACUCUAUUGACUAUCUCUAUAAGAUAAGAACCUUGGAAAAAGAAAAAACAAAACGAACAGCAGAAAAGAAGAUAAGAUAAGAAUAAAUUCACAAAAAUUUUCUUCUGAUUCCUCCUAGCCAGAUACGAAAGUUUUUUAGCAUAAUAUUUUAUUUCCUUUUAUUUCAAUGGAUCUUAUCAUUUAUAUAUACAUGAUUUUUUUAAAUGCAUUUUGCUAAUAUUAGCAGAAUAUUUUAUUUCCUUUUAUUUCCAUUCAUCUUAUCAUUUAUAUAUACAUACAUGAUUUUGUUAAAUGGAUUUUCCAUUAGCAUAAUAUUUUGUUUCCUUUUAUUUCCAUUCAUCUUAUUAUUUAUAUGUACAUACAUGAUUUUGUUAAAUGGAUUUUCCUAAUACCUGAGUAUAUUUAUAUACUAUCUUAAGAAUUACGGUUAGUCAAGUGACUAGCAUUGACUAACCUUAACUCUAUUGACUAUCUCUAUAAGAUGAGAACCUUGGAAAAAGAAAAAACAAAACGAACAGCAGAAAAGAAGAUAAGAUAAGAAUAAAUUCACAAAAUACCGUGUCCUUAUUUUGACACAAAGUAGCUGACAAUCAGAACAAAGAAAAUAGCCAAAUAGCAAACCAAAAUAUAGUGCAAAAAUAAGGUAUAAUUCCAAAAAAAGGACAAAAAGAAAAUGACAAAGCACGAACAAGCCAUAUUUAGAUUUUACGAGAAUACUAUAGACGAAUGCCUUAAUGAAGAACCAACCAAAGAAGAUAGAAUUGCCAGAAGUGAAAAGAACGCAUAAAAUGGAGAAGUAUUUUCAUUAUUUUUCUGAUUCCUCUUAGAACCUUCUGAAUUUUUUUGAUUUGAACUCCUAGAAAAUUCUCAAUUUUUUUGAUUUGAGCUGCUAGAAAAUUAUGAAUGUUUUUGCUUUGAGCUCAUAGAAAAUUAUGAAUUGAAAUGAAAAUUGAAAUCAAAAGGGAAAUCAAAAUCGAAAUGAAAAAGAUUCUAAUUGUUCCUAUUAAUCUUAACCAGUCAGAAAGAAGGAGAAAAAAAUAAUGCAAAAUUAAAUAAGGUAUAAUUCC
This 1803-nucleotide long non-coding RNA is filed under the name Lathyrus oleraceus (garden pea). RNAcentral's name for it is "Pisum sativum (pea) long non-coding RNA (PSAT_LNC032920)". The record is from RNAcentral. Lineage: Eukaryota; Viridiplantae; Streptophyta; Magnoliopsida; Fabales; Fabaceae.